This 354-nucleotide transfer-messenger RNA is filed under the name Desulfotomaculum sp. It matches the Rfam family "transfer-messenger RNA". Rfam says of the family: Bacterial tmRNA, also known as 10Sa RNA or SsrA, is named for its dual tRNA and mRNA-like properties. Its role is to liberate the mRNA from a stalled ribosome. The record is from RNAcentral. RNAcentral also lists the same sequence under 2 other names. Lineage: Bacteria; Bacillati; Bacillota; Clostridia; Eubacteriales; Desulfotomaculaceae.
GGGGGCGUCAGGUUUCGACGGGGGAAGCGGUGACAGGAGGAGCGAGCCGGGGAGGCUACCUGCCCGUAAAAACGGUGGCAAGGCAAUAAAGGCCAACAAACACGAAUACGCCCUGGCUGCUUAAGCCAGCCAGCAUUCUGCCGGCUGAGGCCCGUGCGGCCGGAUAGGGUGUCACACUAACGGGCUUGCCUAAAGGACCAAUUCUCGGCGGUCCUUGGGGAGAUCUAUCGAGAUAGCACUGGGGGAGCCUGGCUGCGGGCGCCCACGGUGCGAAAACCAAAACACAGCCUGCGCUCGGAGAAUCUCCUGUGGUCACUCCUUCGGACGGGGGUUCGAUUCCCCCCGCCUCCACCA